UGGGAGAUAAAGGACUUAUCAAAACAUACGAAGACCAGCCCUUAUUUGAAGUUUCCAAAACAGAAAAUUGGCUUGCUCAUUCACUUCAGAAGAGGAAGAUAACUUAUACAAACAGACACAUAUAUGCACACCACACCCACACACACCCACACACAAACACACACCCACCCACACACACACACACACACACACAUUCACACGUGAAUGCUGCCUGGGUGCUUUCUUAAUGUCUUCAUGAAAUAAAAAUUAAACUAAAGUGGCUGACAGUCCCACACCACAGAAGCCACCGCAGAACCCGAUACCCCUGAGGACAGUCACAAUGUGAUCUGUACUGUUAACUGUUCAAAGCACUUUCAUGGAUGACUCACAUGAAAUCACAUGUGCCUGGCAUUGCAUCUUAUGGGCCAGAGGGUGGCAUCCCUCUCUACACAUCACCUCAUCUCCCUUUCACAAGGGCUGGGACCACAUUGCCUUUCCAGACAGGAGCCCUCCGAGAGGCCCAACAAGCAGCUGA
Long non-coding RNA from Mus musculus (house mouse), 514 nucleotides. RefSeq annotates it as predicted gene, 30549. NCBI's taxonomy places the organism in Eukaryota, Metazoa, Chordata, Mammalia, Rodentia, Muridae. The record is from RefSeq and is a predicted model, not a curated record. The transcript is spliced from 3 exons.